RNAcentral lists this long non-coding RNA (351 nucleotides) under Physcomitrium patens. RNAcentral describes it as "long non-coding RNA (PPAT_LNC010786)". Lineage: Eukaryota; Viridiplantae; Streptophyta; Bryopsida; Funariales; Funariaceae. The record is from RNAcentral.
CCACUGUUUACUAAUACCACAUUUGAUAUUAAAAUAGCUUCAUAAGUGUCAAAUGAACACUUAUAAGGUGUGAUAUGCUUGGAAUAACCUAAAUCUACAAUCCAUCUUGAUAUGACAACUAUAGAGGUUCCAUUUAUUGCCAUGAAUGCAUAAUCUUGUCCUCCAAACUCAUCUUGUAUACUAUUUACAUUCUCCUUCUCCAUCUUUCUGCCUUUGUAGCAAUUUUGAGUAAAAUGGCCUACUUUGCCACAAAUGAAGCAAGCUUUGACAUUACCUCGUUGAUUUGGAUAGUUAAUCUUGUCUUGACAUGAGUAGAAUGUUGAAUCUUCACUUUGGAGCUCCUUUUCUUUC